Molecule: ribosomal RNA, 253 nt
Filed under: uncultured bacterium
Lineage: Bacteria
Description: partial 16S ribosomal RNA
Rfam family: Bacterial small subunit ribosomal RNA
Source: RNAcentral
UACGUAGGGCGCAAGCGUUGUCCGGAGUUAUUGGGCGUAAAGAGCUCGUAGGUGGCGUGUCGCGUCUGCCGUGAAAGCCCAUGGCUUAACUGUGGGUCUGCGGUGGAUACGGGCAGGCUGGAGGCUGGUAGGGGCAAGCGGAAUUCCUGGUGUAGCGGUGAAAUGCGCAGAUAUCAGGAGGAACACCGGUGGCGAAGGCGGCUUGCUGGGCCAGUUCUGACGCUGAGGAGCGAAAGCGUGGGGAGCGAACAGG